ACCAUGCAGUCACUGAGAAUGGAAGAUGCGACGUACGACAUUGAUUUGAUUUACCCCUUGUACUACAAAUAUAAUUAAUCGACAGAUAAAAAGAUAAAGCAUCAAAUCCUAUGUGAGCGGUAUGAACGAACAAAGCAGACAAAGCAGAAGCAUAAGAUAUGGAUCUGAUUAUGUUCAUGAGAAAGAACCAUCAGAGCAUAUCUAUGAGAGUACACGUGAGAGCAGAUUGGAAAAUGGAUCUGAUUUUGUGGUAAUCAAGAGAUACAAUAAAUUAAGUAUAAAUAUUGUUUAUUAACCCCCUCUUCCUUUAGCAACUACGCUACUUGCAAUUACUUGAGUAUGUCUAAAUGUAUCCUGGUGAUCUUCAGAUAAAAGAUACCACAUACAGUGGUCUGACACAUCUGUUUCAUAUUUGAAUAUUUAACUGGAAAAAGCAUUAAUGGUAAUCAAAAAACAGUUCUGUGAUAAGCAUGAUGAC
Saccostrea cuccullata (small rock oyster) is the source of this 478-nucleotide long non-coding RNA. RefSeq lists it as uncharacterized. NCBI's taxonomy places the organism in Eukaryota, Metazoa, Mollusca, Bivalvia, Ostreida, Ostreidae. The transcript has 3 exons. The record is from RefSeq and is a predicted model, not a curated record.